AUUGAACGCUGGCGGCAGGCUUAACACAUGCAAGUCGAGCGGGGGAAGGUAGCUUGCUACCGGACCUAGCGGCGGACGGGUGAGUAAUGCUUAGGAAUCUGCCUAUUAGUGGGGGACAACACCUCGAAAGGGAUGCUAAUACCGCAUACGUCCUACGGGAGAAAGCAGGGGAUCUUCGGACCUUGCGCUAAUAGAUGAGCCUAAGUCGGAUUAGCUAGUUGGUGGGGUAAAGGCCUACCAAGGCGACGAUCUGUAGCGGGUCUGAGAGGAUGGUCCGCCACACGGGGACUGAGACACGGCCCAGACUCCUACGGGAGGCAGCAGUGGGGAAUAUUGGACAAUGGGGGGAACCCUGAUCCAGCCAUGCCGCGUGUGUGAAGAAGGCCUUAUGGUUGUAAAGCACUUUAAGCGAGGAGGAGGCUACUCUAGUUAAUACCUAGGGAUAGUGGACGUUACUCGCAGAAUAAGCACCGGCUAACUCUGUGCCAGCGGCCGCGGUAA
Molecule: ribosomal RNA, 501 nt
Filed under: uncultured bacterium
Lineage: Bacteria
Description: partial 16S ribosomal RNA
Rfam family: Bacterial small subunit ribosomal RNA
Source: RNAcentral